RNAcentral lists this ribosomal RNA (709 nucleotides) under uncultured bacterium. Its description in RNAcentral is "bacterial SSU rRNA". It matches the Rfam family "Bacterial small subunit ribosomal RNA", at positions 777 to 1500 of the family's 1533-position model. The record is from RNAcentral.
AUUAGAUACCCUGGUAGUCCACACAGUAAACGAUGAAUACUCGCUGUUUGCGAUAUACUGCAAGCGGCCAAGCGAAAGCAUUAAGUAUUCCACCUGGGGAGUACGCCGGCAACGGUGAAACUCAAAGGAAUUGACGGGGGCCCGCACAAGCGGAGGAACAUGUGGUUUAAUUCGAUGAUACGCGAGGAACCUUACCCGGGCUUAAAUUGCACCUGAAUAAUGUGGAAACAUGUUAGCCGUAAGGCAGGUGUGAAGGUGCUGCAUGGUUGUCGUCAGCUCGUGCCGUGAGGUGUCGGCUUAAGUGCCAUAACGAGCGCAACCCUUAUCUUCAGUUACUAACAGGUCAUGCUGAGGACUCUGGAGAGACUGCCGUCGUAAGAUGUGAGGAAGGUGGGGAUGACGUCAAAUCAGCACGGCCCUUACGUCCGGGGCUACACACGUGUUACAAUGGGAGGUACAGAAGGCCGCUACCUGGCGACAGGAUGCCAAUCCCCAAAACCUCUCUCAGUUCGGAUCGAAGUCUGCAACCCGACUUCGUGAAGCUGGAUUCGCUAGUAAUCGCGCAUCAGCCAUGGCGCGGUGAAUACGUUCCCGGGCCUUGUACACACCGCCCGUCAAGCCAUGAAAGCCGGGGGUACCUGAAGUACGUAACCGCAAGGAUCGUCCUAGGGUAAAACUGGUAAUUGGGGCUAAGUCGUAACAAGGUACC